AUUCGAGCAGAUAUCCAGUGGUGCUCCUGACUCGUAGCUGACUGUUCAUGUAACACCAUCCUUACAUUGGUGAACAACGAACACAGUCACCCAUCAUGUUCAAAAGAUCGUCCUUCACAUCGCUGUUGAUCGUCUCCGUCAUCAUGGUGAUGCUGGUACUUGUGGUGCAGGCAAGAGCUCCGACUGUCGAUUUUGUGGUGUUGACCAAGAGCAUUCGGGCGUCAGACAUUGCGAGAGGGACAGUGAAUGUACAAAUACCCCUAGCGAAAAAUGUUGCAGUAACGCCUGUACCCUAGGAAUUCUUGUAGGGACUUCUGGUUAGUAGCAGUAAUGAUACAAAGGUUCCAUCUUGGAAAUUAUUGAUCUUUCUCAAGUACCCUGUACUGUUUUCGUUGAAGUUGGAAUAAAAAAAAUACACAAAAACAC
Molecule: long non-coding RNA, 426 nt
Organism: Homarus americanus (American lobster)
Lineage: Eukaryota; Metazoa; Arthropoda; Malacostraca; Decapoda; Nephropidae
Exons: 3
Source: RefSeq, a predicted model, not a curated record